AGUGAACGCUGGCGGUAGGCCUAACACAUGCAAGUCGAACGGCAGCACAGUAAGAGCCUGCUCUUACGGGUGGCGAGUGGCGGACGGGUGAGGAAUACAUCGGACUCUACUUUUUCGUGGGGGAUAACGUAGGGAAACUUACGCUAAUACCGCAUACGACCUACGGGUGAAAGCAGGGGAUCUUCGGACCUUGCGCGAUUGAAUGCGCCGAUGUCGGAUUAGCUAGUUGGCGGGGUAAAGGCCCACCAAGGCGACGAUCCGUAGCUGGUCUGAGAGGAGGAUCAGCCACACUGGAACGUGGACACGGUCCAGACUCCUACGGGAGGCAGCAGUGGGGAAUAUUGGACAAUGGGCGCAAGCCUGAUCCAGCCAUACCGCGUGGGUGAAGAAGGCCUUCGGGUUGUAAAGCCCUUUUGUUGGGAAAGAAAAGCAGCAGGUUAAUACCCCGCUGUUCUGACGGUACCCAAAGAAUAAGCACCGGCUAACUUCGUG
This 492-nucleotide ribosomal RNA is filed under the name uncultured bacterium. RNAcentral describes it as "partial 16S ribosomal RNA". It matches the Rfam family "Bacterial small subunit ribosomal RNA", at positions 29 to 507 of the family's 1533-position model. The record is from RNAcentral.